This 375-nucleotide ribosomal RNA is filed under the name uncultured organism. RNAcentral's name for it is "partial 16S ribosomal RNA". It matches the Rfam family "Bacterial small subunit ribosomal RNA", at positions 527 to 896 of the family's 1533-position model. The record is from RNAcentral.
GUAGGUGGCAAGCGUUGUCCGGAAUUAUUGGGGCGUAAAGCGCGCGCAGGCGGUUCGUUUAAGUCUGAUGUGAAAGCCCACGGGCUCAACCGUGGAGGGUCAUUGGAAACUGGAGGACUUGAGUACAGAAGAGGAAAGCGGAAUUCCACGUGUAGCGGUGAAAUGCGUAGAGAUGUGGAGGAACACCAGUGGCGAAGGCGGCUUUCUGGUCUGUAACUGACGCUGAGGCGCGAAAGCGUGGGGAGCAAACAGGAUUAGAUACCCUGGUAGUCCACGCCGUAAACGAUGAGUGCUAAGUGUUAGGGGGUUUCCGCCCCUUAGUGCUGCAGCUAACGCAUUAAGCACUCCGCCUGGGGAGUACGGCCGCAAAGGCUG